AACGAACGCUGGCGGCAGGCCCAACACAUGCAAGUCGAACGCCCCGCAAGGGGAGUGGCGCACGGGUGAGUAACGCGUGGGAAUAUGCCCUUCGGUUCGGAAUAACACAGGGAAACUUGUGCUAAUACCGGAUACGAUCUACGGAUGAAAGAUUUAUCGCCGAGGGAGUAGCCCGCGUAGGAUUAGCUAGUUGGUGAGGUAAUGGCUCACCAAGGCGACGAUCCUUAGCUGGUCUGAGAGGAUGAUCAGCCACACUGGGACUGAGACACGGCCCAGACUCCUACGGGAGGCAGCAGUGGGGAAUAUUGGUCAAUGGGCGAAAGCCUGAUCCAGCCAUGCCGCGUGAGUGAUGAAGGCCUUAGGGUUGUAAGGCUCUUUCGCCAGGGAAGAUAAUGACGGUACCUGGAAAAGAAGCCUCGGCUAACUCCGUGCCAGCCGCCGCAGUAA
This 447-nucleotide ribosomal RNA is filed under the name uncultured bacterium. Its description in RNAcentral is "partial 16S ribosomal RNA". It matches the Rfam family "Bacterial small subunit ribosomal RNA", at positions 29 to 523 of the family's 1533-position model. The record is from RNAcentral.